UACGGAGGAUCCAAGCGUUAUCCGGAUUUAUUGGGUUUAAAGGGUGCGUAGGCGGCGCGAUAAGUCAGUGGUGAAAGUUUGCGGCUCAACCGUAAAAUUGCCAUUGAUACUGUCAGGCUUGAGUACAGAUGAGGUAGGCGGAAUGUGUCAUGUAGCGGUGAAAUGCAUAGAUAUGACACAGAACACCGAUUGCGAAGGCAGCUUACUAAAGUGUAACUGACGCUGAGGCGCGAAAGCGUGGGGAGCAAACAGG
This 253-nucleotide ribosomal RNA is filed under the name uncultured bacterium. RNAcentral describes it as "partial 16S ribosomal RNA". It matches the Rfam family "Bacterial small subunit ribosomal RNA", at positions 524 to 776 of the family's 1533-position model. The record is from RNAcentral.